GAUUUUAUUAGUUCUGACCACUCACUGGGCUUUUCAGCAUGUCUUUUUCAUGAAGGAUUUUUUUCCUAGUUUGUGAGACCUACAUUAAGAAGGAAAGAGAAAAAUCUAUUUUCUGCUUGACAAAAAAAUUAAGUGUGAAGAAGUUGUUUCCAUUUCCAGAAGCAUUUUAAAGCCCUUCAGAGCCAAGUACUCAGUAAAUCCACUUCAGGGUCUGGGCAUCAGUGCACACCAUGAGGAAGUGUUUUUUCUUGUAGCUGCUCCCUCAGCCUUUGUCCAGUCACCAGCCAGAGGCUGUCAAGGUGACAGCACCACUGUUGAAAGGCACAGGUGAUGCUGCUUCCUCUCCACCUCAUCUUCCUUGAGUGUUUGGGAGUUCCUGCUUCCAUACAGGAAUGUAAGCAUGAGCAGCAUAAUGCUCAGGACCAGUUCAGGAGAUACUGGAUGUCAUUUGCCAGAGAUUAAAUCUUCAAGGUCAAAUUACAGGGAAAGUAGCACAACUGCAGAGAAGAACUGAAACUGAGUAUCACAGGAAGGGGUGUGCUAUGAAAGACUGUUUGGUCAAUUGAUAUUUUUUCAAAUUUGAGGAAAGAAAAUGAUGAGAAGUAAGUCACUUAGAAUGAAGACAAUAUAUAGGAAUUGCAGAAGAACUAGUAGCUCAUAAAAACCCAUUUUUAUCUGCUCCAUGCUCAGAGUGCAGCCUGGGUUUAACCAUGAUGAGCCUACUACCUCCUCUGAAAGGCCAGGGUUUGUGUCAGCAAGUGCUCUAAGUUAUAAAAUAGGAGUUGCUUUGGUUGGUGUGGAAGAGAGGACCUGUCUGGUGAUUGUUCUCUCCUGAGUGCAGCAGGCUCAAUUAAAGGGAAUGGCAGCCAGUAUUCCUUCAACAGAUCACAGCAAGACAGACAGGGAACUUCUUUUGAUUGAUUUGUGAAAGAAAGUACUAACAGAUUUAUAUUGCAAAAAAUAAAAGAGGUUUGAAGUUAUACCUGCUGUCCCUU
This 995-nucleotide long non-coding RNA is filed under the name Cyanistes caeruleus (blue tit). Its description in RNAcentral is "lncRNA (ENSCCEG00000002531.1)". Lineage: Eukaryota; Metazoa; Chordata; Aves; Passeriformes; Paridae. The record is from RNAcentral.